This 368-nucleotide ribosomal RNA is filed under the name uncultured bacterium. RNAcentral's name for it is "bacterial SSU rRNA". It matches the Rfam family "Bacterial small subunit ribosomal RNA", at positions 524 to 898 of the family's 1533-position model. The record is from RNAcentral.
UACGUAGGGGGCAAGCGUUGUCCGGAAUCACUGGGCGUAAAGGGCGUGUGGGCGGUAUGGUAAGUCAGAUGUGAAAGUUCGGGGCUCAACCCCGGAAUUGCAUUUGAAACUGUCAUACUUGAGUACUGGAGAGGUAAGCGGAAUUCCUAGUGUAGCGGUGAAAUGCGUAGAUAUUAGGAGGAACACCAGUGGCGAAGGCGGCUUACUGGACAGAGACUGACGCUGAGGCGCGAAAGCGUGGGGAGCGAACAGGAUUAGAUACCCUGGUAGUCCACGCCGUAAACGAUGAGUGCUAGGUGUUGGGGAAACUCAGUGCCGUAGUUAACACAAUAAGCACUCCGCCUGGGGAGUACGGUCGCAAGACUGAA